This is a non-coding RNA of Pelobates cultripes (western spadefoot toad), 433 nucleotides long. The record is from the annotation of a GenBank genome assembly. NCBI's taxonomy places the organism in Eukaryota, Metazoa, Chordata, Amphibia, Anura, Pelobatidae.
UAGGGGCCAAAAUUAACUAGGAAAAGCUUCCUUGUGCUGCAAAUAAGCACUUAGAGCCUACCACACGCACACAGACAGACAUAGAGAUACACGCACACACACUGACAGACAUACAGAUGCACUCACACACAGGCAGGCAUACUGACAGAUACACACACACUGACAGACAUACAGACACACAUACACACAAUGACAGACAUACAGACACACACACUGACAGACAUACAGGUCAAAAUAUACAUUUGUAUAGCCACUCUCCAGAUUUUUUACCUUUUGGGUGCUGGAGGGUGGCUUCCCUUGUGUCCAUUCUGCAGGCUGAGGAUGUUGGGAGUUAGGGGUGGACUCUUGUAGCCUGCUCCCUAUUCUCUCCUAUCUUGUCCUCUUUGCUCCCUCCGUGCAGCUCCAGUGUCUCGCAGCCUGACCCCCUUCUCAC